UCUCCGUAGGUGAACCUGCGGAGGGAUCAUUACUGAGUGAGGGCUCACGCCCGACCUCCAACCCUUUGUGAACACAUCUUGUUGCUUCGGGGGCGACCCUGCCGGCACUUCGUCGCCGGGCGCCCCCGGAGGUCUCCAAACACUGCAUCUCUGCGUCGGAGUUUGAAACAAAUUAAACAACUCUUUCACCAACGGAUCUGUUGGUUCUGGCAUCGAUGAAGACCGCAGC
Molecule: unclassified non-coding RNA, 229 nt
Filed under: uncultured fungus
Lineage: Eukaryota; Fungi
Description: sequence contains ITS1, 5.8S rRNA gene
Source: RNAcentral